Equus quagga is the source of this 3654-nucleotide long non-coding RNA. RefSeq lists it as uncharacterized. The record is from RefSeq and is a predicted model, not a curated record. The transcript is spliced from 3 exons. NCBI's taxonomy places the organism in Eukaryota, Metazoa, Chordata, Mammalia, Perissodactyla, Equidae.
GCGGCCUGGAGGGGAAGAGCAAGGCAGGGACGGAGAAGGACUCUGUGUGAGCCUCCCCAUGCCCACCCCAUCUGACCUCUCUGAGCAGCACCCUUAGCCACGACUGGACUAACCCAGCAAAAGGAUGCUUCUGGAUUGUGGCAGGGAAUCAACAUCUGAAUGUAACUAACAGAGCUUUACCUUAUCCACUUGCCCGGGACGGUAUUUACGCUAAUCCUAUUCCGACAAAAGCAACACUGACUAAUACGAGCUGCGCCUCAGCUCUGGUCCCACACAUCUGUCGGCUGCGUGGGGUAGCCUCUCCUGCCGCGCGGGCCUGCGCGUGGCUGCCAGGCUCUCAGCGGCCAGCCCGGAGGCGCCGAGGGGCAGCCGAUUGUUUGGCACCUAUAGAUGCGGCCCUGCUGGGGGCCAAGCGCUGUGCCGGGCAGUGGAGACGCAGCAGAGAAGACAGACAAGGUGGCCACUCCCAUGAAGCAUGUGCUCUGGUGGGAGAGGCAAAAAGCAAAGAAGUAAAUGAAGAAGUGAACACGGUGAGUGCAGACGGGGUUGAGUCCUAUGAAGACAAACAGCACUGACGCGUCAGAGAGGCUUGCGGGUGAGCACCUAAUUAGAGGGUGGCCAGGGAAGGCCCGUCUGAGGAGGUGGGACCUGAAUGACAAGGAGUCACCACGGGGCGGUCACAGUGCGCCAGGCAGAGGCACCAGCAAACGCCCAAGGAAGGGCCACAGUCAGCGAGUUUGAGGGACGGAAGGCCAGAGCGGCUGGAGCUUGGGGCAGGAGGCAAGAUGAGGUGGUGCCAGAGGUGAGGACACGUGGGACCUUGAGCACUGUGGGAGCCACUGGAGGGCUCUGAGCAGGGGAGUGGCGCGCCCUGCAGUGUGUUGAGACGUUCGCUUUGGUUGCUGGGUGGAGAAUCGACUACAGGAGGGACGGGAGGGCCCCAAGGAGACGAGGUAAGUGGCUCUGGCAUUGGGCAGGGGGAGAAGGGAAGGAUGGGUGACAUUUGGGAGGUGACAAGAAGAAUAAGACAAAAAGCGGAGAGUCCCUAGCACGGUCUGCGGCACCAAGCAGGGGCUCACGACGUGGUGGCCGGGGUUUGAUUAUUUUGACUCUGCUCCGCCACACAGUCUCUCCAAAAUAACACCUUUUAAAAAUGCUAAUAUUUGAUCAGCUUCAGUACUGGCCCAGAGGUCCCCGUAGCGAUGCUAGACACAUUUUCCCCGGUGGGCUGGCCUCAGAUCAUGCCCCACAGCUGUGGGCUGCUUCCCUCUGAAGUGAAGCCCCGUGGGCCACGUGCUUCCUGGCUCUGAGGCGAUCCGGCCCCAGCGCCUUCUCAGGGAGCUGGCCUGACCCAGCGCCAAGCUGAGAGCCACGAGAAACCCGCCGCCAAGGGCGGGCUGGCCCCAGUCCUGCACGGGGAGGUCCUCAGCGGGGACAGGCACCGGGUCUCACCUGCCUUCUAAUCCACUCCUCCAGUGCCGGGCGCUGAGUUCCCGCUCUGUGCAGACUCUGUGCUGGGGACACAGGAAUGAGUCAGACACCGUCCCCGCCUGGAGCUCGUGCCAAGACUGUGAGCUUCUUGGGGCCAGAGACUAUGUCUUCUUCAUCCCUGUGACCCUCGGACCUGGCACAUAAGAACUCGCUAAAUACGCACUGAACGAACGAUUUUAACAAGAUGAAGCAGCAGCAUUUGAUUGGACAUCCUGGUCCUGGAUCCUGAAACCAGCCUCCUUGGCUUAUGGGCAGUGUCACCGUACUAAUCGAAGCUCCCAAGGCCUUGUUUUCUGGAAGGACUCCCUUCGACAGCAAUAAUGGGCAGUAACAAACUAAGCCCUCACCCCAGCUGCCUGUGAUAAACGCAUCCAGAACACACUACAAAUCUCAGAGUGAGGCUCUGAGGCCUGAGGCUGCAGCAAAAGAAAACCAAGGUUGACAGGCACAAGUUUAAGAACCUGAUAUUCUCUAAAUGAAAAAAGGCCAGAUGCCUGUUUCUUCACCACUGAAUGCAGAAAGUGUGUUAUCUGAGCGUCCUGCCGUUUUUUAAACCUGGGACUCUAAUGAUAUUUGUUUGGUCAACUCUAAACUUCAUUUGUCAAAAAAAAAAAUCUAAUUUACUGAGUCUCACAGUGUUUCUUUCCUUUGCCUUAAAUUGUUGGGGUUUUUAAAUUUUUAAAACUUUUCUUACAUACCUGUUUAUGUAAGAACGUUUUUACCUUUCCAAAAUGCAUCCUCAAAAACUCCUCAGGCCUCCCACCAUCUGAAGGCCACAGGCCACGCUCCUCUACAAGGCCUCCCAGCCCUGUCUCCUUUUUCACCUCAUUUCUCUCCAUCAUCAUGCCUAAGAAGCUUGUGCCUCCACUGUCCAUACUGUUUGCCGCUCCUGAAACGAGGCAUGCGCGUCACACCUCUGUGCUUUGCGCACCCCCUCCCUCUGCUGAGAACUCCUACCUAUCCUUCAAGGCUGGGUUCAAAUGUCAACCCUCUGUGGAGACUCUGCUUCCCUUAGAAUGGUGUCAAUGACCCGUUUUUCCACUUUCUCAACAUUUAAAAGGAAUAUCUACGGUAAACACCAAAUGUGCUAUACUAUCAUUAUCUACCCCUGUGUCUAUCUCCCCACCAGACUAAGACUCCCCCAAGGGUGGAAAUUAGAUCUCAUUUACUGCAGUUUCCCCAGUGACUGUCUCGUCCUUGGCACACAGCAGAUGGGUAACAUUUGUUUGUUGAGUGAAUGAAUGAAAAUACAGACUCAAUCCCUACCCAAAGGAUCAGGAGCUCCAAUCUAACCACCACAAGAAAAGGAUCAAUCAGCUAUUGGAGCAGAUUCUAAUAGUAUUUAAUUUCCCAAAUUUCCUCUAGCAACCAAACACAUUUGGAAGACAUAUUCAUGCCGAGACCCACGGGUAACUCCGUGGUCCUUGGAACUUCUCCUGCCCCAUUUCAGGAGUGACCCUUUCACUCCGGUAGGCUGGAGCUCAGCGGGCCCUUAGCAGCGGGCCAGCUUAGACGGGGUCUGCGAGCCUUGUGCCCCUCAGCAGGCACCCGGAAUAGCUCGAUGAGUGUUCACAGGAAUUCUGCACAUGCAUCAAGAAGGAAACAGCCACGAAUAACCCAGCCUGCUCUCCCAAUCUGCAGGGCACAUCUCUGCAAUCACGUUACUUUCCAACUAUCACCACCUAAGCCUUUCAGCCAGAGAGCAAUUGGUUUUCGACUUACCCUGCGUUCCUAAGUUGGCAGAACUUUCUGGGUGUUUAUAAAUGAAGCUUCCUACCUCCAGUCUCUUCCCCAGCUCCAGCUUGCCUUCCACAGCCUGUUAACAGAAGACCAACCAAUUCCUGCUAAUCCAAACACCUUCACCUGAUGCUCAGGACCCUUCAGAUUUGGUUCUGGUCCUUGUGUUCCUCUCCUGCCUCAUCUCCAGCUAUUCUCCUGCAUGUGUGCUCCACUCCAGCCAUACCAAGCACCUUCCAGAUAUCUCACAGUUCUGAGUCUUUCCUUACUCUGCUUUCUCUGCCAGGCAUACACCUCAACCAGCCAAUUACCUACUUCUGCCCUUUAAGACUGCACACGGGUAUCACCUCCUCCAGGAAGCAUUCCCUGACUGGAUUAGAUGCCUUUCCUGUACACUCGUAACUAGUCAUUCAACUAUUCAAUAAA